Non-coding RNA from Pelobates cultripes (western spadefoot toad), 324 nucleotides. NCBI's taxonomy places the organism in Eukaryota, Metazoa, Chordata, Amphibia, Anura, Pelobatidae. The record is from the annotation of a GenBank genome assembly.
CACAUACAGGCAGUCACACACACAGACAGACAGUCACACACACAGACAGUCACACAGACAGACAGUCUCACACACACAGGCAGUCACACAGACAGUCACACACACAGGCAGUCACAUACAUGGGCAGUCACACAGACAGACAGUCACACACACACACACAGACAGUCACACGCACACAGGCAGGCAGUCACACAGACAGUCACACACACACACAGACAGACAGUCACACAAACAGGCAAACAGUCACACACACACACUUACCUCUUUCCAGUGGAUGCAGUUGGCUGAUGGGGAAGCAUCUUUCCCUCUUCCUGUACAGCAGGG